This 517-nucleotide ribosomal RNA is filed under the name uncultured bacterium. Its description in RNAcentral is "bacterial SSU rRNA". It matches the Rfam family "Bacterial small subunit ribosomal RNA", at positions 1 to 522 of the family's 1533-position model. The record is from RNAcentral.
UAGAGUUUGAUCCUGGCUCAGGAUGAACGCUAGCGGCAGGCUUACACAUGCAAGUCGAGGGGCAGCGGUUGUAGCAAUACAAGCCGGCGACCGGCGCAGGGUGCGUAACGCGUGAGCAAUCUGCCCGUAUCAGGGGGAUAAGCGAUGGAAACGUCGUCUAAUACCGCAUAACACUGACCAAGGCAUCUUGGAUAGUUGAAAGCUUCGGUGGAUACGGAUGAGCUCGCGAGACAUUAGUUAGUUGGCGGGGUAACGGCCCACCAAGACCGCGAUGUCUAGGGGAACUGAGAGGUUGGUCCCCCACACUGGAACUGAGACACGGUCCAGACUCCUACGGGAGGCAGCAGUGAGGAAUAUUGGACAAUGGUCGGAAGACUGAUCCAGCCCAUGCCGCGUGAAGGAUAAGGUCCUAUGGAUUGUAAACUUCUUUUGAGAGGGAGCAAUAAGGUAGUCGAGACUACCGAUGAGAGUACCUUUCGAAUAAGCAUCGGCUAACUCCGUGCCAGCAGCCGCGGUA